Molecule: ribosomal RNA, 325 nt
Filed under: uncultured bacterium
Lineage: Bacteria
Description: bacterial SSU rRNA
Rfam family: Bacterial small subunit ribosomal RNA
Source: RNAcentral
CACACAUGUAAUUUAAGAUUAAAGAUUUUAUCGGUGUACGAUGGGGAUGCGUUCCAUUAGAUAGUAGGCGGGGUAACGGCCCACCUAGUCUUCGAUGGAUAGGGGUUCUGAGAGGAAGGUCCCCCACAUUGGAACUGAGACACGGUCCAAACUCCUACGGGAGGCAGCAGUGAGGAAUAUUGGUCAAUGGGCGAGAGCCUGAACCAGCCAAGUAGCGUGAAGGAUGACUGCCCUAUGGGUUGUAAACUUCUUUUAUAAAGGAAUAAAGUCGGGUAUGCAUACCCGUUUGCAUGUACUUUAUGAAUAAGGAUCGGCUAACUCCGUG